GUUUAAACUGAAGUGUUUGGAUAACUAUUUAAGGUAAUAAACUGGCAUAUUAUUCCCUUAAAGGAAUAAUGAACUGAGUAUAUUUGUACUGUCCAGAAGAGGGCUGGGCAGUGCAGGACCUAUAUUUCUGGGGGAAGAUCUGGGUCUGAGGGUGUGUUGGGGUCACUCUGCAGUAUAACCGAGGCUGGUGAGAACCAGGGUGAAGCUGGCAGACUGCGGUUACACACAGACACUCAGGGUGUUGCUUGCAUUCUGGAAGGCUAUUUGUGAACUGCCCAGGUGAGCGCCAAUACAGCAAGGCACUGUAAGGCACCCAACAUUGCAGGGCAGUGGUGACACAGACCCCCGACUAGUCUGGGAUUGUUCCCUGGUAUGUCACAGCGUACAACCUUUAAAGGUUAAGUACCUGCACCUACGCCCAUUUAAAUUAAUGAUUAGCCCCCAUUGACAAUUGCAACAAAAUGUGUACAUCAUAUAUAUCAUGUAAAGUGUCAACGGAAAAGUUAUGAUUUGCUAAAGGUGAUUAUCCUGUUUAAAUCCGCAUAUCAUCACUGUAUCUGAAGUUUUGAAUAUUGGCUAUGUAUCUGUAUCCCAAAUGUGUUUGCUUCCUGGGGUAAUACCCAGCUAAAAUCUACAUUGAAACCAGACAUUGUUGUAUGUAAACUGCCUGCAUGGAGUCUGGCUCCCCUGUCCUGUUCCUGACUCUGGAAAUGAAUUAUGCUGCCUGUUAAGCAAAAAAUAUCUUUCUUUAAGACAUACUUUUUUUCAGUUUCUAAGGUUUAGCAUCAGGAAGUUCCAUGCGCCUAUAGUGAGCAUUUGACUUUACAGAUCAUUUUCACCUUUCAAAGAAAGAAGACACCUACUAUCAGUUAUGAUUCUGUGUCAAAGGAUUGCUGAGUUAUCAGGAAAUAGACAAGAAUGUGGGAACUUGAACAAGAGAUGCAUGCUGCAAUAUUAUUUAAACAAAUCAAAAAUGGCCAUGGUUUCCUCUCUACUGGCCUUCACUAAGCAGGAGGGGCCUGACUCUACCUUGCAUGUCAUAACCUGAAUGCCACCAGCACCUCCAACAUGAAUUGUAUCAGCUGAAACUCAAGAAGAGAACAGUCGGGCUUAUUCCUCUAAUGCAUGACUUUGCCGUUAUGAAGUCUGACAAUGCAGCAUGGACUGGAGAAAU
RNAcentral lists this long non-coding RNA (1174 nucleotides) under Chrysemys picta bellii (western painted turtle). RNAcentral's name for it is "lncRNA (ENSCPBG00000028418.1)". The record is from RNAcentral. Lineage: Eukaryota; Metazoa; Chordata; Testudines; Emydidae.